GAUGAACGCUGGCGGCGUGCUUAACACAUGCAAGUCGAACGCACUCGACCUUCGGGUCACAUGAGUGAGUGGCGAACGGGUGAGUAACACGUGAGAAACCCACCCCGAAGUUUGGAAUAAUUCAGGGAAACUUGAACUAAUACCAAAUACCCCCCAUGGAUCGAAUGGUCUAUGGAGGAAAGAUUUAUCGCUUUGGGACGGUCUCGCGGCCUAUCAGCUAGUUGGUGAGGUAACGGCUCACCAAGGCGUCGACGGGUAGCUAGUCUGAGAGGACGAAUAGCCACACUGGGACUGAGACACGGCCCAGACUUCUACGGAAGGCAGCAGUGGGGAAUCUUGCACAAUGGGCGAAAGCCUGAUGCAGCGACGCCGCGUGGGGGAUGAAGGCCCUAGGGUCGUAAACCCCUUUCAGUGGGGACGAAAAUGACGGUACCCACAGAAGAAGGUCCGGCCAACUACG
Molecule: ribosomal RNA, 460 nt
Filed under: uncultured Acidimicrobiales bacterium
Lineage: Bacteria; Bacillati; Actinomycetota; Acidimicrobiia; Acidimicrobiales
Description: bacterial SSU rRNA
Rfam family: Bacterial small subunit ribosomal RNA
Source: RNAcentral